Molecule: ribosomal RNA, 497 nt
Filed under: uncultured bacterium
Lineage: Bacteria
Description: partial 16S ribosomal RNA
Rfam family: Bacterial small subunit ribosomal RNA
Source: RNAcentral
GAUGAACGCUGGCGGCGUGCCUAAUACAUGCAAGUCGAGCGAACAGACGAGGAGCUUGCUCCUCUGACGUUAGCGGCGGACGGGUGAGUAACACGUGUAUCCCCUACCUAUAAGACUGGGAUAACUACGGGACACCGGCGCUAAUCCCGUAGAAUAUCUUGCACCACAUGGUUCAAUAGUGAAAUACGGUUUUGCUGUCACUUAUAGAUGGAUCGGCGCCGCAUUAGCUAGUUGGUAAGGUAAAGGCCUACCAAGGCAACGAUGCGUAGCCGCCAUGAGAGGGUGGUCGGCCACACUGGGAGGGAGACACGGUCCAGACGCCUACGGGAGGGACCAGUAGGGAAUCGUGCGCAAGGGGCGAAAGCCUGACGGAGCAGCGCCGCGUGAGGGAUGAAGGUCUUCGGAUCGGAAAACUCUGUUAUUGGGGAAGAACCAAUUUGUGAGUAACUAGGCACGUCUUGACGGUAACUAAGUAGAAAGGCACGGCUAACUUCGUG